Non-coding RNA from Caenorhabditis elegans, 21 nucleotides. The record is from Ensembl. NCBI's taxonomy places the organism in Eukaryota, Metazoa, Nematoda, Chromadorea, Rhabditida, Rhabditidae.
UCUGUGCAUUCUUUUUUUGGC